RNAcentral lists this ribosomal RNA (253 nucleotides) under uncultured bacterium. RNAcentral describes it as "partial 16S ribosomal RNA". It matches the Rfam family "Bacterial small subunit ribosomal RNA", at positions 524 to 776 of the family's 1533-position model. The record is from RNAcentral.
GACGAACCGUGCGAACGUUGUUCGGAAUCACUGGGCUUAAAGGGCGCGUAGGCGGGCCGCGAGGUCCGGGGUGAAAUCCCCCCGCCCAACGGGGGAAGUGCCCCGGAUACCGGCGGCCUCGAGGAAGGUAGGGGCGGGCGGAACUUCCGGUGGAGCGGUGAAAUGCGUAGAUAUCGAGAGGAACACCUGCGGCGAAGGCGGGUUGCUGGGCUGACACUGACGCUGAGGCGCGAAAGCUAGGGGAGCGAACGGG